Non-coding RNA from Podarcis lilfordi (Lilford's wall lizard), 73 nucleotides. Lineage: Eukaryota; Metazoa; Chordata; Lepidosauria; Squamata; Lacertidae. The record is from the annotation of a GenBank genome assembly.
AGGGAUUUAGCUUAGUGGUAGAACACCUGCUUUUUCAUGCAGAAGGUGCCAGGAUCAGUCCCUGGCAUCUCUU